UUCCCUUUGUCAUCCUAUGCCUGGAGUAAUAGAGGGGGCUGGGAAGU
Molecule: microRNA precursor, 47 nt
Organism: Carassius auratus (goldfish)
Lineage: Eukaryota; Metazoa; Chordata; Actinopteri; Cypriniformes; Cyprinidae
Source: Ensembl